CAGAGGGUGCAAGCGUUAAUCGGAUUUACUGGGCGUAAAAGCGCGCGUAGGUGGCCAAUUAAGUCAAAAUGUGAAAUCCCCGAGCUUAACUUGGGAAUUGCAUUCGAUACUGGUUGGCUAGAGUAUGGGAGAGGAUGGUAGAAUUCCAGGUGUAGCGGUGAAAUGCGUAGAGAUCUGGAGGAAUACCGAUGGCGAAGGAAGCCAUCUGGCCUAAUACCGACACUGAGGUGCGAAAGCAUGGGGAGCAAAACAGGAUU
This 257-nucleotide ribosomal RNA is filed under the name uncultured bacterium. RNAcentral describes it as "partial 16S ribosomal RNA". It matches the Rfam family "Bacterial small subunit ribosomal RNA", at positions 526 to 779 of the family's 1533-position model. The record is from RNAcentral.